This 253-nucleotide ribosomal RNA is filed under the name uncultured bacterium. Its description in RNAcentral is "partial 16S ribosomal RNA". It matches the Rfam family "Bacterial small subunit ribosomal RNA", at positions 524 to 776 of the family's 1533-position model. The record is from RNAcentral.
UACGUAGGGCGCGAGCGUUGUCCGGAAUUAUUGGGCGUAAAGGGCUCGUAGGCGGUCUGUCGCGUCGAAAGUGAAAACCCAGGGCUUAACCCUGGGCCUGCUUCCGAUACGGGCAGACUAGAGGUAUGCAGGGGAGAACGGAAUUCCUGGUGUAGCGGUGAAAUGCGCAGAUAUCAGGAGGAACACCGGUGGCGAAGGCGGUUCUCUGGGCAUUACCUGACGCUGAGGAGCGAAAGUGUGGGGAGCGAACAGG